Molecule: ribosomal RNA, 253 nt
Filed under: uncultured bacterium
Lineage: Bacteria
Description: partial 16S ribosomal RNA
Rfam family: Bacterial small subunit ribosomal RNA
Source: RNAcentral
GACAGAGGUGCCAAGCGUUAGGCGGAAUCACUGGGCUUAAAGCGUGUGUAGGCGGAUCGUUAAGUGCCUUGUGAAAUCCCACGGCUCAACCGUGGAACUGCUUGGCAUACUGGCGAUCUUGAGCCAUCUAGGGGCUACUGGAACAAACGGUGGAGCGGUGAAAUGCGUAGAUAUCGUUUGGAACGCCAAUGGUGAAAACAGGUAGCUGGGGAUGUGCUGACGCUGAGACACGAAAGCCAGGGGAGCGAACAGG